GAUGAACGCUGGCGGCGUGCUUAACACUUCCAAUUCGACCGGAAGGCCCCAACUUUCCUUGGUUCCUCAAUUGCCAACCGGUUAGUUAACCCUUGGUUGUUUUCCCCUCCCCUUCGGAUUAACCCUGGGAAACUGGUCUUAUUCCCGGUUGGGCCCCCUCUUUGGUUUUUUUGUUGGAAGUUUUUUUCGGGGUGGGAUGAGUUCGCGGCGUAUCAGCUUGUUGUUGGGGUAAUGGCCUACCAAGGCGUCGACGGGUAGCCGGCCUGAGAGGGUGUACGGCCACAUUGGGACUGAGAUACGGCCCAGACUCCUACGGGAGGCAGCAGUGGGGAAUAUUGCACAAUGGGCGCAAGCCUGAUGCAGCGACGCCGCGUGGGGGAUGACGGCCUUCGGGUUGUAAACUCCUGUCGCUAGGGACGAAGCGUUUUUGUGACGGUACCUGGAGAAGAAGCACCGGCUAACUACGUG
RNAcentral lists this ribosomal RNA (468 nucleotides) under uncultured bacterium. Its description in RNAcentral is "partial 16S ribosomal RNA". It matches the Rfam family "Bacterial small subunit ribosomal RNA", at positions 28 to 507 of the family's 1533-position model. The record is from RNAcentral.